GGCCUGAGAGCUCUUCGUUUCCUCUGCCUCUGAUCCUCGGGCUGGUUGGUGGCAUCACACUGAUUCUCCUCCUCUCACUGCUGCUGUUGUGUUGGUCCAGAACGUCAAAGAGCUCAGAGCAAACUGUCGACCAGGAUGAAAACCAAGAGCCAGUGUACUCGUCUCUUCUCCACGGUGACAACUGCAUCUAUGAGUCAAUCAGAGGCUCUGAAGACACUGAGCAAGGUACUGUAUAAAAUGAGCCUCCUGCAGAGAAGUCCAAAAUGAGAAACCUUCUGAUUUCAGGUGGACGGGCAGAUGAGUACAGAAAAGUCAAACACGAUGUCCUGACAUCAAUGCACACACGUGAUUUUCCAACAUGUCAUUUUAAAACUCUAGAUUGAAUCUGCUGCUAAAUCAGCCUCCACUCUCCUGGGAAGCUUUUCCACUGAGGUGUGAUGCUUUCAGUCGUCCCAAAGAAAGACAUUUGGACUUUUCAGUUUAGUCUGAACCAAAAUAACAGGUGUGAAGGUGCCUCAGACCCCGGUCCAGACCUUUAUAUACAGUCUGUGGUCCAGACCAAUGCACCAGAAUGUAGUCAGACCCAACGAGGUGGUCUCCAGAUCAAACUGAACCAUGGAUCGGUUUGUGCUGUGAAAACACUUUUCUGGAGGACUGCUGCGUCCAUAAAUGUCUGGACACAAGGACGCUGCAGUGGAACACAUGUGGAGCACCUGAAGCUGCUGAUGCUGGUUGUGAUAGUGACAUUAGAGUGGCAACGACAUGAACUCAAUGAAUAAAACAGUGCUUGGGAACCUUUUCAAGUGGUUUUCUGUUUGAUCUUCACAGGAACCCGAGGUGAUCCAGAGGAGACGCCUGACUACGUUAAUGCCGAUCAAUGUACAGGCCCACUAUGAAUGGUGCAUCCUCGAGAAAACGAGAACAUGAAAAUCAACUUUCAUCCUUCAAAUAUUCCACUCAACAGUCUGGUAACAGCUCAUUGGGAAGAAUGACGUCAUCUGGAUUGAAUUUCAUAUCAAAGAAAAAAGAAAGGCUGUGAUCUUUGCUUUUGUGUCUAGUUCAAUAUAUCAAGUGGCUGAUAUGAACACUUUUAUUUUACACCAUAAACAAUGUGCAGUUAUGAUUGUAUUUUACACUGAACAUGUUUUUGUCUCAAUUCUAUAUAUUCUGUAAAUAUUUGUUA
Paralichthys olivaceus (Japanese flounder) is the source of this 1183-nucleotide non-coding RNA. The record is from RefSeq and is a predicted model, not a curated record. NCBI's taxonomy places the organism in Eukaryota, Metazoa, Chordata, Actinopteri, Pleuronectiformes, Paralichthyidae.